RNAcentral lists this unclassified non-coding RNA (251 nucleotides) under Hevea brasiliensis (rubber tree). Lineage: Eukaryota; Viridiplantae; Streptophyta; Magnoliopsida; Malpighiales; Euphorbiaceae. The record is from RNAcentral.
GCCUUCAUCGCUGCCGCCUCGUCAGCAACCCUUGUCUCCGCCAGUCCCGCUUCUCCCAAAGAGGGUUUGGCCUCCGCCGGAUCGAGGAAGUUCACCCCAAGUCUCGACGGCCUGAGAUUCAUCGAGACGCUCGUUACGGCGCACCGCUGAUGUUGAGUCUCUAAGUCGUCGUGAUAUCGAAUAUGUUUGUGCUAAUUUAGUUUCUCAUAUUUGUUUUGAGUUGUAAUGAAGCCAUUUUUGGAUCUUUAAUU